GGCAGGAGGAGCGGCCUGGCUUUGUCUGAGUCAGGCAGCCCAGCGUGUGGGAUGCCAGGCUGGAUGUGCUGGGCCUGACCAGCCGCCCGCUUUCCUCUUCUCUUGCCUCUGCCUGCCCCCUGGUGGACAGCUGGGGUAAAGCAUGGGAGUGCGCCUUUGGGGUCUCAGUGGGGCUGAAAUACGACUCCUCCCCUAGGACAGCCUGCCUUCCCCAGCCUUGUUCUCCGGCAAAGUCAAUUUCCUGGAGAAUCGAGGCUCUGCCUCAGAUGUUCGGAGCCUCCGCAGGAUGAACACCUCCAUUUCAAUUCCAGGGGCUUUGAUCAACCUGUGCCUCCCUUGAUCCCCAACUUGUGGGCACCUUCCCUUGAGCAGUGCCCCCACGAGGUACACCUUUCCCGGGAAACAAAAAUCAUUCCUUCUUUGGGUCCUGCAAGCUGUAAAGAACCAAUACAGCACUGUGCUACUGAACAUGUUGCCACUAUAGAAGCCCCUUGUGUUUUGAAGAGUACAUCUCUAUAGCCAUUCGUUUAUUCAUCAGAAACCAGCUAGAAGCCAGGCCCUGUGCUGGGCGCUGGAGACAUGGAAGAAACUGGGCUGAGGCUCCCGCCUUGAAGAGCUUGUGGCCCAGGGAAGGGACAGUUCAUCUGUCAUUGAUUGCCACGUGACAGUGUCUAUGAUGCUAAAAAGAUGCCAGUGCUGUGCUGCAGGAGCAAAGGCCGUGGAGGAAGAGGCUUUGGCUUUGUUGCGAGUCCUUGCCAGAGCCAGGCAAAGCCAGUCACCGCUUUGUUCAGAUGACUCAGGUAAAUAAAUGAGGCCGCACAGGCUGUCCUGACACCACACACCUCUAGAAUACCCUGGCUGUGCUGGGAGCUAUUGGUGUCAGCUGAGUAUUUUCAUCCCUGUCCAAGUCACAAUGAUCUGACUGUACCAGCCUGUGUGGAUGUUGCUAAGAGGAGGCAGACAGCACCAUGAGCUCCCUUAGAUGACGAUCGGCAUGAUGUUCCUGCUGUGGCAGCGCUCAGCUCUUGCCAAUGCUCUUCUCUGCUUUGCUCACUUUAAGCCUCCCUUAAUUUUUUUGAAGCCCAGUUUCCACAUUGCUGAUUCACAGAUAUGCAAGACUCAGGCAGGAAAAAAAAAAGUGUCUCCUUUUCCAGACUUCUUAGAGGACUUGGAAAGAAAAUGAAAUGACGUUGAACGAAAUCAAAGUAAAUUGAGUGAUCUGAAACGAUUUGAUGUCAGCAAGAAUUCCCCAUACAGCUCACAGCCCUACCCCGAGCACGCCUCCCUCUUGGGUAUGGUGAGUUCAGCUCCAAAUUUAUUCUGACAAGAAAGCACAGGCAAUGGCUUCAGUGGGUCUAAAUCAGGUGAAAAUUCAAAGCAAUCACCCUUCCUGGACAAUCUUCUGCUUUCUCAGUGCUUAUCAUGGUCUGAAAAUUCCUAUUUAAAGAAGCAGAGCUUUCUUUUAAGUCCUAACAGAACAAAGUCACACUCAACAGUGCACAGGCACACGCCGGGAUCGAGAAUGCAUUUUUGGCAAAAAGUCUCCUCUUUUCUCUGUCUCCUCCAGCUCUCUGCAGGCCCAAACCUUGCAGAAGCCAUUCCAUGUUUCCUGAGCAGGAAAAGACAAACUCAGACCGACAACCUUGGACUUCAAAAGACUGCACACAAGGGGAGGAAGGACUGAGAGUACCAAGGCGUGAGAAUUCAGAAUGCUGCUAUCUCAUUUAUUUUUACCAUUUAGGAAACGUUUUGAUCUGCAUUCCUUUUCCCUUCCCUGAUUUCAAAAAAUAAAAAUAAAAAUGCUUCGGUUCUGAGGA
Homo sapiens (human) is the source of this 1817-nucleotide long non-coding RNA. Ensembl annotates it as long intergenic non-protein coding RNA 2029. The record is from Ensembl. NCBI's taxonomy places the organism in Eukaryota, Metazoa, Chordata, Mammalia, Primates, Hominidae.